Molecule: long non-coding RNA, 672 nt
Filed under: Lathyrus oleraceus (garden pea)
Lineage: Eukaryota; Viridiplantae; Streptophyta; Magnoliopsida; Fabales; Fabaceae
Description: Pisum sativum (pea) long non-coding RNA (PSAT_LNC029300)
Source: RNAcentral
UUCCCACAAUUCAAUCAAAUAUCUUUGGUUUAACAGUAACAUUUUCAACAACAAAAUUUCAAAAGCAAAAUGUUCAUGGGUUAAACAGCAACAUUUUCAUCAUUCAGACAAUUCAAUCAAAUUUCAUGGGUUUAACAACAAAAUCAACAUCAUUCACACGGUUCAAUCAAAUUUCAUGGGUUUAACAACAACAUUUUCAUAAUUCACACAAUUCAAUCAAAUUUCAUGGAUUUAAUACAACAGUUUCAUCAUUCCCACAAUUCAAUCAAAUAUCAUGGGUUUAACAAUAACAUUUUCAACAACAAAAUUUCAUUGGUUUAACAAUAACAUUUUCAUUAUUCACAAAAUUCUAUCAAAUUUCAUGGUUUUAACAGUAACAUUUUCUUCAUUUCCACAAUUCAUUUAAAUUUCAUGGGUUAAACAGCAACAAUUUCAUCAUUCCCACAAUUCAAUCAAAUAUCAUGGGUUUAACAGUAAUAUUUUCAACAGCAAAAUUUCAAAAGCAAAAUGUUCAUGGGUUAAACAGCAACAUUUUCAUCAUUCAGACAAUUCAAUCAAAUUUCAUGGGUUUAAUAACAAAAUCAUCAUCAUUCAAACAAUUCAAUCAAAUUUCAUGGGUUUAACAACAACAUUUUCAUAAUUCACAAAAUUCAUUCAAAUAUCAUGGAUUUA